UACGAAGGCCCCAAGCGUUAUCCGGAUUUAUUGGGCGUAAAGAGCUCAACGGUGGCUGAUUAAGUCUCUGGUUAAAUUUUGAUGCUCAACAUCAAAGCCGCCAGAGAAACUGGUCAGCUUGAGGACAGAAGAGGCAGACGGAAUUGCCGGUGUAGUAGUAAAAUGCGUUAAUAUCGGCAAGAACACCAAUUGCGAAGGCAGUCUGCUGGGAUGCUCCUGACACUUCACGAGCGAAAGCGUGGGUAGCGAU
This 250-nucleotide ribosomal RNA is filed under the name uncultured bacterium. RNAcentral's name for it is "partial 16S ribosomal RNA". It matches the Rfam family "Bacterial small subunit ribosomal RNA", at positions 524 to 772 of the family's 1533-position model. The record is from RNAcentral.